This 2823-nucleotide ribosomal RNA is filed under the name Triticum aestivum (bread wheat). Its description in RNAcentral is "partial small subunit ribosomal RNA". Lineage: Eukaryota; Viridiplantae; Streptophyta; Magnoliopsida; Poales; Poaceae. The record is from RNAcentral.
AUGGACGACUUCGUGCUCCGGUCCGGCGUGCGCGUGGGGCUGAAGCGCGAGUUCGCCUUCGCCAUCGCCUCCCAGGCCGCCCUCGCCCCCUCCCUCGGCCGCACCCGCUCCUCCCGUUCAUCCGCCGCCGCCGCCGCCGUCCUCUCCCCGCCGACCACCAAGCCCAAUCCCAAGCCCUCCCGCUCCUCCAAGCGCUCCCGCCCCUCGGACUCGGCGCCCGCCAAGCGCGCCCGCUCGCGGCCCCCGGAUCCGGACCCCGCCGCCGCGGAUCCGCCGCGGGAUCCUCCUCCUCCCCCCGCCGGCGCCGGCGCCCACGCGGAUGUGCCGGCUGACGCCCCGUUCUCUGCCAUCGCAAACGGGCCCCAACUGCCUCCCGCCGCCGCCACGCCCACCGCCAACAGGCCCCAGCCGCCUCCCGCCGUCGCCGGGGAUGAGCCGGUGCUCGCCCUGUUCGCCGCCAACGCGCCCACCGCAAGCGCGCCCCAACCGCCUCCGCAGCAGCAGCAGGAGGCCUUCUUCAUCCCGCCGGAGACGCCGCCCCGGCGGGUCACCCGCUCCAUGCUCUCCCAGCCCGCCGCCUCCCCUGCCCCCACCGCCGCCACCGCUCCCCCACAGCCAACCAGACCCAAACCCAAACACCAACCCAAGCCCAUGCUCAAACCCAAGCAGGAGCCCGUGGACGAGCCCACCGACCACCUCCAGCCCUACCCCGGGGGACUCGCCGGAGGCGUAGCAAGCCCGGCGUCGCCCCGCCGCUUCACCAGGUCGCUCCUGCAACAGGUCAAACAGCAAGUGGACGACGGCGACAACGACGAGUCGGGCACCACCACCGCCAGCAGCUCCCCGUCGCCCUCCCCCAAGAGCACCAAGCGCGGCGCCAGCCUCAAGGCCAAGUCCGAGGGGCCAGAUGGAAUCCCCAAGAACCUCAGGGAGCUCUUCGCCACCGGCUUGCUCGAGGGCCAGCCCGUCAACUACUUCAUGAACAAGGGGAAGCGACCAGUACUUCGUGGAGUCAUCAAAGACACGGGCAUAUUGUGCUCUUGCACUUCAUGUAAAGGCCGAAAUGUCGUUUCGCCUUUUUAUUUCGAGGUGCAUGCCGGGAGCCAUAAAAAGCGCCCCUCCGAUUACAUUUUCCUGGAAAGUGGAAAUACUCUGCAUGAUGUAUUGAGGGCGUGCACAGAUGCGACUGUAGACACACUGGAAUCUGCAAUACUGGGAGCAAUAGGCCCGGUGCCUAAGAAGAGGACAGUGACAUGCCAGGACUGCAAAAGUUCGUUUAAAACUUUCCGCGCUGGAAAAUUUGCUUCCUUCUGUGAUACAUGUCUGGAGUCUAAGGAAGCUCAGAGCACCGCAAGGGACCAUGGCUUGCACAAGUUGGUUUUCAUGAGUGGUGUUUUGGCGGAGGGCACAGACGUCGGCUAUUAUGUCCAGGGAAAGAGGUUGCUGGAUGGCCACAUAAAGGAACAUGGAAUCUAUUGUUAUUGCUGCAAUACAGUGGUUAGCCCUUCACAGUUUGAAGGCCAUGCUGGCCGAGCUGCUCGGCGCAAACCUUACCACAACAUAUACAUUUCCAAUGGCGUUUCACUACAUGAGCUGUCGGUUUCUCUUUCAAAAGGCCGAAAACCUUCAGAAAAGCAGAACGAUGACUUAUGCAGCAUCUGUUCAGAUGGCGGGGAGCUGCUUCUUUGUGACUCCUGCCCGAGAGCUUUUCACAGAGAAUGUGUUGGCUUGUCUUCUGUACCGAAGGGAGCUUGGUGUUGCCGGUAUUGUGAAAACAGGCAACAGAGAGAAAGUUAUUUGGCAUACAACAACAAUGCAAUAGCCGCUGGGAGGGUUGAUGGAGUUGAUUCCAUCGGACAAAUAUUUACGCGGUCGAUCCGUAUUGCCACAGCACCUCAGGGUGCAUUUGGUGGAUGCGCAUUGUGCAAGCAACAUGAUUUUGGCAAAAAGAAAUUUAGUGAACGAACUGUGCUGCUCUGUGACCAAUGUGGGAGGGAAUAUCACGUUGGAUGCCUGAAAGAACACAACAUGGCUGAUUUGACGGCAUUGCCCGAGGGAGCAUGGUUUUGUUCCACCGUAUGUGUGGAGAUCUGCGAGGCACUGAAGGACCUGGUCAGUCGUGGAGCGGAACCUGUUCCUGCCGUGGAUGUUGAUCUCAUAAAGAAGAAGCGCGCGGAGAAAGGUUUGAAUGACGAUGGCGACCUUGAUGUUAGAUGGAGGGUUUUGAGGGACAAAAGUUCAGAAGAUAGUAAAGUGGUGCUGUCCAAGGCGGUUGGUAUUUUCCAUGAAUCAUUUGAUCCUAUCAUCCAAGCUGGGACGGGGCGAGACCUGAUUCCAGCCAUGGUCUAUGGGAGGAGCGUAAGGGAUCAAGAUUACACAGGGAUGUACUGUGCGGUGUUAACUGUCGGCAAGACGGUGGUUUCUGCUGGACUCUUCCGUGUCAUGGGCAACGUAGCCGCGGAGCUCCCCUUGGUCGCGACGAGCAGGGAUAACCAAGGCUUGGGGUACUUCCAGGCGCUGUUUGCGUGCAUCGAGCGGCUGCUGUCGUCCCUCAAGGUGAAGCACUUUGUGCUGCCGGCGGCAGAGGAGGCGGUGUCGAUCUGGACGCAGCGGUUCGGGUUCGGCACGAUAACCCAGGACAAGCUGCUGGAGCACCUCAAGGGCGGGCGACCGACGGUGUUCCACGGCACGUCGACCCUGCACAAGCCUGUCCCGGUGGCUGAGGCGGAGGCGCGGGUGCCUGAGGAGGAGGAGGAGGAGGAGGAAGCGCCGGUGCCCGAGGAGAAGUCGGAAGAAGAGCCGGUGCCGGCGGCCUUGGAGUGA